Molecule: RNA transcript, 2383 nt
Organism: Panicum virgatum (switchgrass)
Lineage: Eukaryota; Viridiplantae; Streptophyta; Magnoliopsida; Poales; Poaceae
Gene name: vacuolar protein sorting-associated protein 55 homolog
Exons: 6
Source: RefSeq, a predicted model, not a curated record
GCAGCUAAACCAUCAUCUAGCACUUGGUGGGCCGGCCGUCCACAUCACCCCCACACCCUCCCUGCUCCAUCUCCCCUGAAACGAAAUCACACGCAGCUCGGCCACCGCAGCAGGCCAGCAGCCUGGGCGUGGUGGCCCUUCUCCGCCGCGGCCUCAUCCCGGCUCUCCCCACGCGGUGGCGGCGCGCGUCUCCUGCGGUGCCUCUGCCGCCCGCAUCCAGAAAUUUGUAGCUGAGACUUUCUUCGAGAACAAGCAAGAGCUUUGCCUGUCUUCACAUUAAAGGAGAACUGAAGUGAACAACAGCAAAGGGAAAAUGGCACUAUCACGUAGUAUGAGAACAUGUUUGCACAGUGGAAGGCUUGCCCUUCUUGCCAUAUUGGUCUCUGGUGGAAUUGUGUUGCAGAUCUUGGCUUGUGCUCUCUAUAACAACUGGUGGCCAAUGCUAACAGUUCUGAUGUAUCUUAUCCUACCAAUGCCCCUCAUAUUCUUCCUGGGCUCUGAUACUUCCUCGAUGAUGUCUAAUGGGGGAGAUGGCUGGGUGAACUUCACGAAAUUCUUGACGGGAGCAUCAAUAGUGGGGAGCAUCGCCAUUCCGUCGAUCCUGAAGCACGCCGGUAUCAUUGGAUGGGGAGCGCUGACGAUGGAGCUGUCAUCUUUCGUGGUCUUUGGCGUGGCAAUCAUGUGGUUUCUCCAGAUGAACAGUGAAGACGAGUACAGCAGUGUGGUCUAGACUUCUAGUUUCAGUUCUCACAUCCUCUUGCCCGUGAACUUGUUUGUACAGCUGCAGGAGGAGCAUUACUUAGGGAAAGAUCGGAUACAAUGGUACAUGUUUGGUCUGCAUUUUGUUCGUCCCGUGAAUCCGUGAUGCUGUGCCUCACAUUCAGAAAACAAAAAAUGUUCGGGUGGUAUUUGAUUUCCCGAUUGCCUGCCCCAGUUCGUUCCAUGCCAGUCAAAAGAGAAGCAUGUUCCCUCCGGCACGCAGAUGGGUGGGCACCGGUGCUCGCACGGCUACCCGAGUCCGCUCGCCGUACGGCACGGCACCAGGGCCAAUGGGUGCGUGUGGUGCACGAUUCGUUUUUGUUCACUCCGGCCACAGCCGACUAGCAGAGCCACCGGCAGGCAGCCGGCACGCCAGCGCGCGGCCGGUGGCGCUCAGUCGCGUUCGCCCUGCUCGGGUUCAGUUUUUCAUGUGGAUUGCAUGGCGGUUCCAACAAGUGAGGCAACAAAUUUCACUCUGGCUGUGCCAUGGUCUUUUCAGAGAGAAUUCCGAUCUGAUUGUGCAAAGUGGGUACCCAAUCAACUCGUUAACAAAGCCUUUUAUAUUCACAUCAGAAAAUGACUGUGUUUCUCGUACUAAAUUUUGCAAGGAUACUAGUCCUUCAGUAGUUCAGUUCCCAGGUGUACAUCGACCUUCUUGCUCAUGAACAGCCAGAAAGAAGCAAAAAAUUCUUCUAUGGCUGUGCUCAUAUUGUCAUUCUUACAAUGGGAAGGAAAGGAACCAAAGGUGCCAAAAACAGAGUAGUAUGUUCUGUGGCGCCCUACAUCAUACCAGUUCCAGUGUAUGCGUUUCUGGCAUGGAGCUGCAUCCCUGCACCAGGGUGCAUAUACGGGUCGGCGAACGGAUUCGAAGAGGCUUGCUGCUGCUGUGCCAUCACCAUCAUCAUCUGCCGCUGCUGCUCCUGCUGGAGCAUGAAGGCAUGCUGUUGCUGCGCCAUCGCCACCAUCUGCACGUUGCGGGCUGCGGCAAUGGAGUUGGAGGCGUAGAACGGGUCGUACAUCGGUUGCUGCAUCAUUGGACCUGAUGCUGGAACGGUCUCCCAAGGGUUCUGGCUCGCAUUCUGCUGUGCCUGCUGUGCUUGACGGUGCGCCUCAUUGUAUAGACUGUCAAGUGUAAGCAGGUCCAGUCCACCAGCCUGUAGCAAGUACAGUCAGUAUGGCUGCAGAGGGACCGAAUAAGGCAAUCAGAUGUGUCAGGGGUUGAUUCAUUCAUUCCCUGCCAAGACAAUGAGGAGUUUUAGGACGCAUGAUUGGCUAAUGGCUGGUGCCUGACUAGUGUAGUAGCAUGGAAAAUUACCAGCAGAUCUGUUGGUUCAGCCGCGGGAGGGACUUCUUUAACUGGCUCAGGUACAGGUUCUGAAGCUGGAGCUGGAGGCGGUGGCAUUGAUGGUUCUUCAGCUUCCAAUUUUCUGUUGUAUUCUAUAGCUAGUACAGCCUAGAAAAACAAACAAAUGGGCAUAAAAGAGACCAUCAAAAUGCUGUUAAAAGUAACUUCUCUAGAGUAACCGGAAACAGCUUGCUUAUUAUACAUAGUAGCAGAUAACAAAGACCCCAGGAAACAAACAGCUAUUGUACUGAAACAAAUAUCACAAACUUUUAGUACUUC